UACGAAGGGGGCUAGCGUUGCUCGGAAUCACUGGGCGUAAAGCGCACGUAGGCGGGUCGUUAAGUCAGGGGUGAAAUCCUGGAGCUCAACUCCAGAAAUGCCCUUGAUACUGGCGAUCUCGAGUUCGGGAGAGGUGAGUGGAACUGCGAGUGUAGAGGUGAAAUUCGUAGAUAUUCGCAAGAACACCAGUGGCGAAGGCGGCUCACUGGCCCGAUACUGACGCUGAGGUGCGAAAGCGUGGGGAGCAAACAGG
RNAcentral lists this ribosomal RNA (253 nucleotides) under uncultured bacterium. Its description in RNAcentral is "partial 16S ribosomal RNA". It matches the Rfam family "Bacterial small subunit ribosomal RNA", at positions 524 to 776 of the family's 1533-position model. The record is from RNAcentral.